This 424-nucleotide ribosomal RNA is filed under the name uncultured Nitrosomonas sp. RNAcentral describes it as "bacterial SSU rRNA". It matches the Rfam family "Bacterial small subunit ribosomal RNA", at positions 207 to 622 of the family's 1533-position model. The record is from RNAcentral. Lineage: Bacteria; Pseudomonadati; Pseudomonadota; Betaproteobacteria; Nitrosomonadales; Nitrosomonadaceae.
CAAGACCUUGCACUUUUGGAGCGGCCGAUGUCUGAUUAGCUAGUUGGUGGGGUAAAGGCCUACCAAGGCAUCGAUCAGUAGCUGGUCUGAGAGGACGACCAGCCACACUGGGACUGAGACACGGCCCAGACUCCUACGGGAGGCAGCAGUGGGGAAUUUUGGACAAUGGGCGCAAGCCUGAUCCAGCCAUGCCGCGUGAGUGAAGAAGGCCUUCGGGUUGUAAAGCUCUUUCAGUCGGAAAGAAAAGGUUGCGACUAAUAAUCGCGAUCAAUGACGGUACCGAAAGAAGAAGCACCGGCUAACUACGUGCCAGCAGCCGCGGUAAUACGUAGGGUGCGAGCGUUAAUCGGAAUUACUGGGCGUAAAGGGUGCGCAGGCGGUUUUGUAAGUCAGAUGUGAAAUCCCCGGGCUUAACCUGGGAACU